This 429-nucleotide ribosomal RNA is filed under the name Acidobacteriota bacterium. RNAcentral's name for it is "Acidobacteria bacterium partial 16S ribosomal RNA". It matches the Rfam family "Bacterial small subunit ribosomal RNA", at positions 355 to 776 of the family's 1533-position model. Lineage: Bacteria; Pseudomonadati; Acidobacteriota. The record is from RNAcentral.
UGGGGAAUUUUGGACAAUGGGGGAAACCCUGAUCCAGCCAUCCCGCGUGUGCGAUGAAGGCCUUCGGGUUGUAAAGCACUUUUGGCAGGAAAGAAACGUCAUGGGUUAAUACCCCGUGAAACUGACGGUACCUGCAGAAUAAGCACCGGCUAACUACGUGCCAGCAGCCGCGGUAAUACGUAGGGUGCAAGCGUUAAUCGGAAUUACUGGGCGUAAAGCGUGCGCAGGCGGUUCGGAAAGAAAGAUGUGAAAUCCCAGAGCUCAACUUUGGAACUGCAUUUUUAACUACCGGGCUAGAGGGUGGCAGAGGGAGGUGGAAUUCCGCGUGUAGCAGUGAAAUGCGUAGAUAUGCGGAGGAACACCGAUGGCGAAGGCAGCCUCCUGGGAUAACACUGACGCUCAUGCACGAAAGCGUGGGGAGCAAACAGG